Molecule: non-coding RNA, 125 nt
Organism: Triticum aestivum (bread wheat)
Lineage: Eukaryota; Viridiplantae; Streptophyta; Magnoliopsida; Poales; Poaceae
Source: Rfam
CUAUUACAUCCUCCAUUCCGAAAUACUUGUCACUGAAAUAGAUGUAUCUAAAUGUAUUUUAGUUCUAGAUACAUCAAUUUUCAUUCAUUUUGAUGACAAGUAAUUCCGGACGGAGGGAGUACAUG